RNAcentral lists this ribosomal RNA (497 nucleotides) under uncultured bacterium. RNAcentral describes it as "partial 16S ribosomal RNA". It matches the Rfam family "Bacterial small subunit ribosomal RNA", at positions 28 to 507 of the family's 1533-position model. The record is from RNAcentral.
GAUGAACGCUGGCGGCGUGCCUAAUACAUGCAAGUCGAGCGAACAGAUGAGGAGCUUGCUCCUCUGACGUUAGCGGCGGACGGGUGAGUAACACGUGGAUAACCUCCCUAUCAGACUGGGAUAACUUCGGGAAACCGGAGCUAAUACCGGAUAAUAUAUUGAACCGCAUGGUUCAAUAGUGAAAGACGGUUUUGCUGUCACUUAUAGAUGGAUCCGCGCCGCAUUAGCUGGUUGGUAAGGUAACGGCUUACCAAGGCGACGAUGCGUAGCCGACCUGAGAGGGGGGUCGGCCACCUGGGAACGGGAACAGGGUCCAUACUCCUACGGGAGGCAGCAGUAGGGAAUCUUCCGCAAAGGGCGAAAGCCUGGCGGAGCAACGCCGCGUGAGUGAUGAAGGUCUUCGGAUCGUAAAACUCUGUUAUUAGGGAAGAACAAAUGUGUAAGUAACUAUGCACGUCUUGACGGUACCUAAUCAGAAAGCCACGGCUAACUACGUG